UGUGUGAGAAAGGUGUGGAAACAUUACACAUUUUGCAAUAUAGAAACUGAGGAUCAAGCAAAAAUACAUUUCCUCAGGCCACAGGUAAAAAAGUGGCAGAACUCUGAUUGGAAAGUUUAAAAGCAGGGCUCAAAAUCUCUUUUUUAUUAAAUGAAGACGAGGAGGUUUCAAGGCAGAUGGAGGUGCCUGGCCUGGAAAUUUACCUAUGCCAGGCAGGUAAACAUCUUCCGCAUGUCAAGAUGAGCCACAGCAGUAUGCAGCCACUACUGCUUUGUGACAGCUUCAGGUAUGUUUCUCUGCACCUCUUGGGGAAGACGGAAAACUGCACCAAAUGUGCCAAUAAUUGGUGUCGGGAGUGAAGAUGCCCUAAGGGAAGACACCCCCUCAGUACCUGCAUGGCUUUGAAUCCUGAAGCAACAACUCCUCUCAUAGGAGAGUCUGACCCCAGACUCCAAAGUUUACCCUGCUAUUCUAAAGUGAAGUGCUCCUUUAUCUUGCCAGAACUGGCCAAAACUGGUUCUUCUGGCAUUUGCUGAUCUCUCAAUCCGGAGACAUGAACGAGUUGAGGUGGAUAAAGUAGAAGGAAUAUUGUAAGGGUCUUCUUCAUGGCAGCGUGUCCUCCAGCCUUGUAUGAGGGGGAGAGAGUCUGCUUUUUCCCUGUUUCAAGCCAAGUACAAGAGGCUUCAGAAAGCAUGGCCCAGUGAGGCAAGCUCAGCAGUGCACUCACUGCAGACACAGUGAGUGACGUUUGAACAUAUGAGGACCAGAAGCUUCCUCAGAAAGUUCGCUAGUCCAAAGAUCCCUGCUCAAAAUUGGUAACUAACUUAACAUUGAAGAUGAUCCUUCAUUAAAAAUUUCUCUGAGAAAAACCAGGAAGUUACCAGCCCAGAGAGAGCUGGAGCAAGUCCACUCUUGGCAGCAUCUCCACGUGCACCCAAGCUCCAGAGAGUCCUGGGAAGAGGCAAUAUUGGCUGUUCUAGAGCUUCAGAAGUACAGGAGAGGAAGAAAGCUGAAGCGUCUCUGGAUUCCAAAGAACACAAGAGUUGCCCCCAUGAGGCCAGCUCAGCAGCAAACUCACUGCAGACACAAUGAGUGUCCUUCAAUCUUCUGAGUCAAGAUACUUCCUCAGGAGAUUCACUAGCCCAAGAUGCCUGUUCAGAGUUGAGAUCAAACUUGAUAGCACUGGAGAAAAUGCUUCAUUAAAAUUUUCUCUGGGAACAACCAGGGAGGUUACAAACACAGAGACAGCCGAGCAAGCCCUGUCCUUGGCAUUUUCUGUGUGCUCCCUGAACGCACGUGGAGGCUUGGUAAGCAGUGGUGCUGGCUUCACAGGAGACUCAAAAACCACAGGAUCAAGAGGAAAGCCUCUGCAUUCCAAAGAACACACUCACUGCAUGGAGAACAUUGAAAUAUCUGUUGUCUACCCAAAAAAAAAUAGUGGCGAUCAAAAUUAAAUUACUUUCCUGAAGCCUCAAGGCCAGUAAGUGACAGAGCUAAGAUUGGAAUCUAGAAAAGCAGGACCCCAAAUCUGUGCUCUCAAGUAUAAGGAGGAGGAGGUUUCACACCAGUUGAAGGUGCCCACCCCAGGUCCUUCCUAGCAGAAGAUGGAUCACUUGCUACUGACCUGUUCUGUGGAUAUUCCAGUGCUUUCAGUGGAGUCAUACCGACAUCACUUAAUUCUCCCACAGGUGAUGUAUGUAAACAUGUGCAUGUUUUAGUGAGGAUAAUCUCAUCCCCAGCUUCACUGUGGUUGCAUAAACCAAACUGGCCAAAAAGAGUGCAUGCUUUUAUUGGCUUUGUUGAUAAGUAACCUUGUGUUCUUUGGAAUCCUAACUCUAUUAUUACCUUGUGUUCUUUAGAAUCCUAACUCUAUUAUUACCUUGUGUUCUUUGGAAUCCUAACUCUGUUAUUACCUUGUGUUCUUUGGAAUCCUAACUCUAUUAUUACAGUUAAUAAUAUAUCGUAACUAAACCUGCUGUCUUGGUUUCUGCUCACAGGUUGAUACCUUGUUACUGCUCUCAUCAGUGGUAUUUCUGAUGCUAUUUUUCUUAAGUGUCUUGUCAAAACAGAAACAUGGGGUCAAGGUUCCCUGGUGUAAUGCCUUUGGGCAAAGGUUUAGUCAGGUUUUUGUUCUGUGGUCUAGGCAACUAGGGAAUGUAGGCAAGAUCCUUUCAGACAACCAAUCUGCAAUUCUUUGGAGUUGGUUAGAGGAUGUUUUUGGAAAUAUUCUGAACCCAUCAGA
Sus scrofa (pig) is the source of this 2242-nucleotide non-coding RNA. NCBI's taxonomy places the organism in Eukaryota, Metazoa, Chordata, Mammalia, Artiodactyla, Suidae. The record is from RefSeq and is a predicted model, not a curated record.